AACGAACGCUGGCGGCAUGCCUAACACAUGCAAGUCGAACGAGACCUUCGGGUCUAGUGGCGCACGGGUGUGUAACGCGUGGGAACCUGCCCUUAGGUUCGGAAUAACUCCCCGAAAGGGGUGCUAACACCGGAUAAUGUCUUCGGACCAAAGAUUUAUUGCAUUUGGAGGGACCCGCGUUGGAGUAGCUAGUUGGUAGGGUAAAAGCUUACCAAGGCGACGAUCCAUAGCUGGUUAGAGAGGAUGAUCAGCCACACUGAGACGGAGACACGGCCCAGACUCCUGCGCAAGGCGGGAGUGGCGGAGAUAGGAAAGUGGGCUGAAUCCUGAUCGAGCAAUGCCGCGUAAGCGAUGAAGGCCUUAGGGAUGUAAUGCUCUAUUACCCAUGAUGAUAAUGACAGUACCGGGAGAGUAAGCACCGGCUAACUCCGUG
This 433-nucleotide ribosomal RNA is filed under the name uncultured bacterium. RNAcentral's name for it is "partial 16S ribosomal RNA". It matches the Rfam family "Bacterial small subunit ribosomal RNA", at positions 29 to 507 of the family's 1533-position model. The record is from RNAcentral.